AAUACUGUGAGAAACAUGAGGUAAACUGAGCCACAGGGAGGACUGCAAUGUCAACCUCACCUAGAUGUCUACAAUACCUUACUCCAAAAAGAUUCUCACGGUGACAGAGCUUAAGAUCUGGUCCGUUGACUUGAGUAAUUUGGACUUCAGUUGCACAUAUCAAAGCAAUUUACAAGCAAGCAUUCAUUAAUAAGGCACAACUGAACAGUGAAUUUAGAGAAGAGAUCUGCACAAAGGUUAGCUGUUUGACGGAAGAAUGCCACUUGUAGUAGGCGAGAAGGUAUUCUGGGAGACUAGUUUAACCUUUAAACCAUGUCACUCAACACAGAAGUAUCAAGGAAUCAAAGAAGUCAAAAGAACUGAAAUCUGGUGGAAGAUGGAUCUGAAUAUAAGAUUUUCACAUCUGAAUGGUACCUGAAUGAAUAAUGGUCUUUAAGAAAAAUAAUCUGUUGGAAGAACUCUCUUCUCAUUUGUUCUGAGGAUGGUGUUUAGGACUCCUUCCUAAAGCUAGCUUGAAAACUUGAAACCAUAUGUUCACAAAAAGCCAAAAUAAACUCUCUUGAGAUGUCCA
RNAcentral lists this long non-coding RNA (571 nucleotides) under Dromaius novaehollandiae (emu). Its description in RNAcentral is "lncRNA (ENSDNVG00000005136.1)". Lineage: Eukaryota; Metazoa; Chordata; Aves; Casuariiformes; Dromaiidae. The record is from RNAcentral.